UACGGAGGGGGCUAGCGUUGUUCGGAAUUACUGGGCGUAAAGCGCGCGUAGGCGGCUUUGUAAGUUAGAGGUGAAAGCCCAGAGCUCAACUCUGGAACUGCCUUUAAGACUGCAUCGCUAGAAUCAUGGAGAGGUGAGUGGAAUUCCGAGUGUAGAGGUGAAAUUCGUAGAUAUUCGGAAGAACACCAGUGGCGAAGGCGGGUCUCUGGGCCGAUACUGACGCUGAGGAGCGAAAGCGUGGGGAGCGAACAGG
RNAcentral lists this ribosomal RNA (253 nucleotides) under uncultured bacterium. Its description in RNAcentral is "partial 16S ribosomal RNA". It matches the Rfam family "Bacterial small subunit ribosomal RNA", at positions 524 to 776 of the family's 1533-position model. The record is from RNAcentral.